This 675-nucleotide ribosomal RNA is filed under the name uncultured bacterium. RNAcentral describes it as "bacterial SSU rRNA". It matches the Rfam family "Bacterial small subunit ribosomal RNA", at positions 9 to 674 of the family's 1533-position model. The record is from RNAcentral.
GAGUUUGAUCCUGGCUCAGGAUGAACGCUAGCUACAGGCUUAACACAUGCAAGUCGAGGGGCAGCAUGGUCUUAGCUUGCUAAGGCCGAUGGCGACCGGCGCACGGGUGAGUAACACGUAUCCAACCUGCCGUCUACUCUUGGACAGCCUUCUGAAAGGAAGAUUAAUACAAGAUGGCAUCAUGAGUCCGCAUGUUCACAUGAUUAAAGGUAUUCCGGUAGACGAUGGGGAUGCGUUCCAUUAGAUAGUAGGCGGGGUAACGGCCCACCUAGUCUUCGAUGGAUAGGGGUUCUGAGAGGAAGGUCCCCCACACUGGUACUGAGACACGGACCAGACUCCUACGGGAGGCAGCGGUGAGGAAUAUUGGUCAAUGGAGGCAACUCUGAACCAGCCAUGCCGCGUGAAGGAUGACGGCCCUAUGGGUUGUAAACUUCUUUUAUAUGGGAAGAAACUUAUCUACGUGUAGAUAACUGACGGUACCAUACGAAUAAGGAUCGGCUAACUCCGUGCCAGCAGCCGCGGUAAUACGGAGGAUCCAAGCGUUAUCCGGAUUUAUUGGGUUUAACGGGAGCGUAGGUUGACAUAUAAGUCAGCUGUGAAAGUUUACGGCUCAACCGUGACAUUGCAGUUGAUACUGUAUGUCUUGAGUGUACAGAGGUGGGCGGAAUUCGUGGU